Molecule: ribosomal RNA, 492 nt
Filed under: uncultured bacterium
Lineage: Bacteria
Description: partial 16S ribosomal RNA
Rfam family: Bacterial small subunit ribosomal RNA
Source: RNAcentral
AGUGAACGCUGGCGGUAGGCCUAACACAUGCAAGUCGAACGGCAGCACAGUAAGAGCUUGCUCUUACGGGUGGCGAGUGGCGGACGGGUGAGGAAUACAUCGGAAUCUACUUUUUCGUGGGGGAUAACGUAGGGAAACUUACGCCAAUACCGCAUACGACCUACGGGUGAAAGCAGGGGAUCUUCGGACCUUGCGCGAGUGAAUGAGCCGAUGUCGGAUUAGCUAGUUGGCGGGGUAAAGGCCCACCAAGGCGACGAUCCGUAGCUGGUCUGAGAGGAUGAUCAGCCACACUGGAACUGAGACACGGUCCAGACUCCUACGGGAGGCAGCAGUGGGGAAUAUUGGACAAUGGGCGCAAGCCUGAUCCAGCCAUACCGCGUGGGUGAAGAAGGCCUUCGGGUUGUAAAGCCCUUUUGUUGGGAAAGAAAAGCAGCAGGUUAAUACCCCGCUGUUCUGACGGUACCCAAAGAAUAAGCACCGGCUAACUUCGUG